AUGCCAAAGUUCACUGGAAGCAAUGACCCCGAAGAGUACAUCUCAUGGGCAUUGAAGGUUGACAAAAUCUUCCGCUUGCACAACUACGAAGAAGAGAAGAAGAUCGCAAUGGCAUCCCUUGAAUUCCAAGACUACGUCCUCAUUUGGUGGGAACAAGUCAUUGAGCGCCGAGAGGCAAGAGGUGAACCACCCAUCACUACUUGGGCGCAAAUGAAGGAUGUCAUGAGAGCACGUUUCGUGCCAAACUACUACAACCGCGACCUCUUCAAGAAACUCCAACUCCUCAAACAAGGAACCAAGAGCGCUGAAGAGUACUACAAGGAAAUGGAGAUUGCCAUGAUACGAGCCAAUGUCACGGAAGAUGACGAGAAAACUAUGGCACGUUUCUCGAAUGGAAUCAAUCAUCCUAUCAAGAAGAUCGCUGACUUCCAACCAUACUCGAACCUCAUCGAGCUAGUGCAUCAAGCUACCAAAGCGGAAUGGCAAGUACAAGACGACUUCAAAUAUGCCAAGUUCUCAUCCAAGUCCUACGGCUUCUCCACCACCCAAGCUUCAACGACUCCAACAACUUCUACCUCAACCAAGCCAUCUACAAGCAACGGCGACAAGUCAAGUUACAAGAAAACUUCGACAACCUCAAGUCGUCCUCCUACUACAAGCAACUUCAAGCCGAGAGCUUCAUCAUCAUCUACCCCAACCGAUGAGACCAUCAAGACAAGUUCCUUCAAAUGCUUCACAUGCGGCGACCGAGGCCACAAGUCCUUUGAGUGCACCAACAAGCGCACCAUAAUCCUCAACGACGACGGAACCUAUGACUCAAUGAGUGAAGGAGAAAUGGAAGCACUUGAGCAAGUGGCCAUGCACCGACAAGUGAACAACGAAGAUGAAGAUGAUCAAAUCUUUUGUGACGAAGAUUCAAGCCCCGCUCUUGUUGUCUCUAAGGUCUUGACUCUUCACCAUCAACAAGACGAAGACCAAAGAUACCAUAUCUUCCACACCAAGGCCGGCAUAAAUGGAAGGUCCGUCAAGGUCAUCAUUGAUGGAGGGAGUUUCCAUAACCUCGCAAGUGAAGAACUAUGCUCCAAGAUCUAA
Molecule: ribosomal RNA, 1092 nt
Filed under: Triticum aestivum (bread wheat)
Lineage: Eukaryota; Viridiplantae; Streptophyta; Magnoliopsida; Poales; Poaceae
Description: partial small subunit ribosomal RNA
Source: RNAcentral